AACGAAAAUCCAUAUAUUAGUAAUUUCACAGAUAUACAUUAGAGAAAUUGUUCAGCAAACAAUCAAUUUAGAUAUAAACACUAUUGGUAUGUUGUUGUACGAUGCAGAACGUACAUACACGGCAAUAUAUGAGACUUUUAUACUAAGUGCGACCAAAGGUAGCUAGUUGAUACUCCAUCACACGGUAUAUCUACGAAUAUGACAAUGUAGAAAAGUGCGAUCAUAGCCAACAUUGAUCUGCUAGUUAGGGGAUCUCUAUUUUGCUGAAGUGAACAAUGUACAUACAAAAUUCUACAUAGCUUCAAGAGUAUAGAAUGUAAUCCCACCUUCACAUGAUACAUUGUAGGUUACCAAUCCCAAGUUAACUUGGCAACAACCUAGAUUGCAAGCUAUGUUGCGGUGACCUGCAAGCCAAGAUGAUGGGAGGUGGGUGGUUACAGAGAGAGAGAGACGACACAACGACUUGCAAGCAUGUGAUUAUAGUCCAGUAAAUAUCACAUGGCACUGGUAGGAAAACAAAAAAUAAGGCGCUGACAAUUAGUAGAACCCAAUACCCCAAUAUUGAAUAAGGUGUGACGUUAAAGUUAGUCCAAUCAUCUACCUGUCAGAACAUCCACAACAUUUCACCUCUAAAGUUCACCUCUACAUAAUUUUUUACUAAACAAUGUUUUGCCAGAAUGUCAUACACCAUUUCAGCACAGCGAUCCUUUUUUGUAUACGGAGAUAUGAGAACAGGAACUAAUCUUAGUGAACUAAAAGUUAUUCUCCAUGUUAAUAAAAAGAGUCAGACAGCAUAGAAGAGCAUAUUGCCACCAUAAGCAAUUUCCCCUUGUGGUGAUAGCAAGAGGAAUCUGGUAAAAAUGUUCAAUGAUGGCUAUGAUCUGCAUAUGAUUCAUGAUUGGAAGUUAGUGUACACAAAUGGUUGAUCAGACAAAACACCAGAUGUUCAAUCACGCUAACAGUUAGUAGUUCGCAUUACUUUCUCUUCCGAAGCGCGCACAUUCGAGUUCAGUAUGGAUGCACUGAGCGCUUAAGACAGCGGCAAGCAUGAGCCAAACCAGAACACAACUCUGCCAAAUCCUGAAUAUUAACACAAUCUAAACUAAUGACCAUGACAACACAUACGAAAGAAAAGAAUGCAGCAGCUAGAUAGAAAAGGAAGUGAGCAAACCUCCACUGGCAGAACAAACAAGCAGCAACCUGCAGAGAUCAUACAGCCUGCGAGAUAAAAGGGAAGGAAAUCGUCAGGGCAGAAGCAUUAAUCCAAAAGAACUUCAUCUCCACUGACCAUGCAGAUGUAAACUGAAACAGCAAGGCUGUUCCAACAUUCUAGAGAAUUCAGAAAAAGCCCUAAAAUUAUGGCAUUAAACAAACAACGGCCUAUAAAUUCUCACCACCCUUCCAACUCGCCGGUCAGAAUUUAUAGGUCGUACGACCUAGUAUUAACAAAGAUCAUGCAGUAGCUAGCGAGAAAGGGAGGGAACAAACCUCGAUCGACAUAACAAAGAAGCAGCAGCCUCGAAGAUCAUACAACCUGUGAAACAAAAAAGGAACCUGGUCAGAAGGAAAAACAAGCAUAGCCUAUUCGUACAUGACUGUAUAUAAAGAUUCCCAGCCAAAAAUUGCAGCCUAUACUAAUACACGACUCGAUAUCAAGAUCAUCAGGAUACAUAGUUUCCUUACAGAAUCAUGUACGCUUGUGCAUUUAAUUAAACAUCUAAAUAAAGAUAAAGGAUAUACCAUCUUUCCAUCUGAUAAUCUCCGGUAGUCAACCACUCGUAAUAUCUUGAAAAGGAGAUUGUGCCUAUAAUUGGGAGGAUCUUGUGAAAUGUUUAAUCUAGAUAUCCUUGCCUUCCCUGUAGAUUACCGCUGGUGCAGUACUGAUUGUUCAAAAAUUCUGCAAUAUAGAGUUAAUAUGGAGUAUAUUGAGAGUACGACCAAACAAAAAAAAUUCAGAAGAAAUGGCAAGAGUUUCCAACAUUGCAAAUAAACAAUAGACCGGAAAAAAAGUCCAAAGCUUGUAGACACAAACACAAAUAGUUGAUACCCAGACCUUCGAUCAGAAAUGACUUGAAUAUUUAUUUUUCUUAGAUUGCAAGGAGCAGAUCAUUAGAUUACUUAGUACUGCUUACAAAAAGCAUACGUAACCUUCUCUUCAACUUGUGAGUAGGUUGAAUCCGAUGUUCCAGCGCAUGGUCCCCUGCUGUGCACACACAAUUGGGCGAUCCAAGUGCAAGUACUCGCAUGCCAAUGGAAGGCAGACUGCGUGCACGAUGACACACAACCCGCUCUAUUUCCUUCCUGCUGUUUUCCUUCACAAGGAAAGAUAACUAUGGAAUCAACAUUAAACUUCAGAGAAUAAGAUAAAGCUGAAUUAGAUAUCCAUACGGAAAACACCCAGAACUGAGAAAUGACAUAGGAAUUGAGAGCUGAAUUAGAGAGAGCACAUAGCCAUGUGAGAGAUGACAUAGGAAUUGAGAAAAUAUAAUCGGACCAAAUCUAGCAUAUUCUUCUGAACAUAUCCUAAAGUAAUUUAGAAAAUGUGUCUUCAUAUUUUCACUACGAAAACGCAAAUAAAUCAAAAGAAACUGAAGGUAAACGAAAAUUGGCUUGAUCAGGAGCUGCACUACUGACCAUUAAAUAAGCAGCAGUGCAACACUCUCCAUCAGCCAACCACCUACUGGGCAUCCACAAUUUUGAUUUAAAAUGAGAUAAUAGGUGAGAACCUGUCAUUGCAAUUGACAUGUUCAGGCACAAUUUAAUUUAAUUAUUAUUGUCGGUGUCUUCAAAGCAUUAUCAAUGAAUAAGAUGGAAGGUAUUAAGUUACAAAACUGACAUGCCAACACAAAUAGUUCUACUGGCAAUCAGAUAAAUCACGCGUGUAAGCAAUAUAAAAAGGAUCAUACAUAAUAGAUCAUGCAUGUAAGAAAUAUGAGUGCAGGUUUCUGUACACCUAGCACUUCUCAUUUUCACAUAGAAAGGUACAAUCAGAUGUCAAAACAACAGUAUAUGUUCAAGGCAUAUAUAUGAACGUGGUACAAAGAAGCAUCAGUGGUACAAAGAAGGAUCAGAGUAUUGCUGGGUUGGCACAGUAUCCCAGUGUUAAUGUACAUAUGGUGGAAGUUUAGGAAUGAGUUCACUUCUUUAACAAAAUAGGAAAAGUGUGGCCUGUAGCAUGAAGAAUAAAUUCAAGAAAGUAAACUGAUGGGCAGGGAACCAUUAUUUAAAUUUCCAUGGUGAAUUUCCCUACAAAAGUCCCUGCAGCAGGAAAAGCACAUGACAUAGAAAAAAAAUAGGAAAGUGGGUCCUUGUGUUUAUCUUCUGCAAAACAUGGCUAUUUUCAACAUAACCAUGUAACUAUUUUAUGCUGCACAAUCAAAAUCAUUAAGAAAUUAGUCUCUUAAUCUUCUCUUUGUAUGUGCCACACUGCAAACAGAAGGCCCAGGAAAAUGUCACAAUGCACAGAAUAAAUGAGUCAUGGCGGGUAGAGCAAACCAGCUUACUUUCCACACAAACCUGAAUCGCAACUAUCCUAACUUCAUCGGCUGUAUCAUGGCUAUUUUGGGGACGGGAAUGUUGCUUUGACUGUAACCCAGUCACCAACCUGCAAGCACAAAUAGAAGAUGGGAUCAAAUGACUUGCCCUACAAAUUUAGGACAAAGAACAGCUCUAACGCAAAAAAAAAAAGAAAAACUAAAGUAGCUAAAGAAGGGGAAAGUAGAGACCUCAUACCUUAAAAUCAUCGAACUUCUCCAUGCUGAUGGAUCCGC
Molecule: long non-coding RNA, 3770 nt
Filed under: Triticum aestivum (bread wheat)
Lineage: Eukaryota; Viridiplantae; Streptophyta; Magnoliopsida; Poales; Poaceae
Description: long non-coding RNA (TAES_LNC008961)
Source: RNAcentral